Molecule: long non-coding RNA, 2964 nt
Organism: Chiloscyllium plagiosum (whitespotted bambooshark)
Lineage: Eukaryota; Metazoa; Chordata; Chondrichthyes; Orectolobiformes; Hemiscylliidae
Source: RefSeq, a predicted model, not a curated record
CGCAGGGUCUAGCCACGAGAGGCGGGGUUAGAGAUCCCCUGUCCAUCUUCUUCAGCGAUGGAGGGGGUGGGGGAGGAAAGGAGGAAUCCCGGCUGCACGGAGGGACCCGCCUCCCUCUGCUGCGCCAUUGGGUAAUUUAAAAGAGAUCCCCGGCGACGUCAGCCGCUUCCCCACGCCCCUCCGCUGCCUAUUGGACCGUCCUGGCGUCCGUCAUCCGGGAGGUGGCUGUCAAUCACACCACGCCUGCCUCUUCUGGAAGGGAGGGGUGGAGUGGUGUAAGUCGCUUCAGCAGUGGACGCGUGUGGAAGCUGAGCAGGAGGGAGUGAUACAGCGAUGGCAAGGGAAGGACAUGGUUAACGACACGUCUUGUGUGGUGGAUUUUUCUAUACAAAACUAACGAAACAAUACCUUCUGUCAGCCAUUUACGGAUUUCUGAGUGCCGUCCGUUUUACUUGUGGAUUAUAAAAAAACCCAAAGCGAUUUUUCAAAAAAUAAAAUUAAAAACCUGAUCGAUGUCGCUUUGAUGUGGUAGCGCGGACUGCAGAUAUCAUGGCGCCUCUUGGCUUUCAGUAAUUUUUGCAUGAAGGAAUAAAUCUCAGCUCCUGGUUGGCGGUUGAAUUACCAUCAUUGCCAAAAACAAAUCAAAUUUUACAGAAUUUGGAAACUACACCUCUUUCUUCCCCUCCGCCCCCCAAUUGUUUUCAUCUAGUUGGCAUACACACAGAAUUUGCCUGAACGUUUUAAAUUUCAAUAGUUGGAAACCUGGCACCUCGAAGAAAUAGAUCAUUGUAAACUUGGCGUUCCAGGUUCAGCAAUCAUGGCUACCCUGACAUUGUCAUAAUACUCAACGUGGAACAUAAGCUGAGAAUGCUCAGCAAGUCUGCAUCAUGUUCUGGAGAAACUGGGUAACUUUUUUUUUCAGGUUUGUGGCCUUUCAUAACUACUUGUAGAAGGAAUAAUUCUUUACCAUCAGGGCCAAAUAACUGUUGACUGGCUCAAUCAUCAUUAAGGAACACUUGGUAAUAUGGCCACUUCAUUUAAUUAUUUCUCUUCAGCUUUCCUGUAAGAUUAUUAAGGUCACACCCCUAAUGAGUGAGUAAGUUACCCCUUCAUAAUAUCCCAUUUUACCAUGUGUACUUCAAGCCUACUGGCUGCAAUUUGACUUCAUGCAUCCUUAAAGGAAAGGAGAAAACUUUGUUGAUACCAGUUUAAAGGAGCUGUAGAUCCAGUCUACCUAGUAGAAUUGGAUGCUCACUGAAGGAAGAUGUGUACAGCGACCCACUUAUUGAGUAGCAAACAAAUUCUCUAGCAAUAUAUUUCCUGGGCUGUAGUAGAUUGAUUUAAACUUGUUUCCAAUGAAUUGGUGUGUAAUUCUCUUGCAAGAAUGAGUACUAAAAAUGUGAUAUUACUUUGCAUGUUGUAAGAAUAGUUUGAGUGCUGUAGGUAUUAGCUACUUUGUCACAAACAUCUUUUAAUUCAUCUGACCUAAUACCACUAACCUCAUGAAAUUCUUUGCACAAAUUUGAUUUAUGUAUUGCUUAUCAAAGACGAACCUUCCUUAAUAGUAAGACAAAGGGAAAAUCAAAUUACAUUCAUGCCCCUCCCUGAUGUUGCAACAUGUUUUGCAAUUUCCUGGGUGUAUCACUUUUAAAUACUAUUGCACUAAGCAAUUCUGCAGCAACUAAAUUAAGAUAGAUAUGCUGUGAGAAUUCAUUCUUUGUCAGUAGUUAACUUUUUCACUUCCAACUGGUUUCAUUUCUUGCUUCAAAAAUGCUCCUCUCCAAGUACUUGAGUUUCUUACAUUUUUUUCACAUAGGUAAAAGCUAGAAGGCAGAAAUAUAAUCAUUUAUAUGGAACCAGCUUUACAUCUAUUAUAAACUGUAAAGAUUAAUUGUUAAAAUGCUUGUCUCCCUUUAUUGUACACCAAGUACCUUCCCUUUUAUCUUACAUUAUGUUGGGAUUUCAGAAAUGCUGGUUGUUGCUUCGACUUCUAUACCUAUGCAUUGAUUUUACCACCGUGUCCAAAACACCAGUUUUCCAAACAGAUUCUCUUAGCGUGAUUACAAUUGUGAGAACUCAGACUGCAAAGAUUGUGCUAAGUGCACAGUGUUACCAGUUUUAUCAGCUUCACACUGUUCAGGCUUAUUGUAGAAUGGCUGGGAGUCUGAACAGUCCCAUGGCAACUAAGCUUUACAGUUACGGGUGAGUCAUAGAAGACUGCCCAAUCAUUAAUAGCUGGCAGAUCCUUCCACUGACACUUUUUCCAUUACAAACAUUUGCUGGAGAAGUAUUAAUUACCUUUACCAACAGCUAGGCAAGAGAGAUCACCAGGUAUAAAAGGCACAGAACACUACAGCUAUUACAGUAAUUGAGUUUAUGCAGUUUCAGAUGCAAGACCAGUUAAAUUGUCAGGUUUGAAUUUUUACCAGUACAUGUCUCCUACCAGUGCUCAAACAAACAUGCAACAAAAAAAUUGGAUUUUUUUUCUAUUACUCUAAUAAAAUUAUUGAUUUGAACAAGCACUGGUUUAGUGAUUCGGUUUAAUUUCUCGUGAAUAGUAUCUUCUUUCUAGCUAGAUGACUGCACACUUUGUUAACCAAGUAUAUGACUGAUCAUCUACUAAUUGACACUACCAGCCAUGCAACUUGGGUUAAUAGUUCACAAUUUUGUUUUCUUGGAAGAAGCUACUUAAGUAUUUUACUCAAAGGUGGGAUUAAAGUUUAGUUAGCGAUAUUGUUGGGAUAUGCCAAGCUAUAAUGCAGGUUUUGAGACUGAUGAGCUAAAAGGUUGACUAAGUUUUCAGAGAAAACUGCAUUAUCCAGAGUAAAUCACAUUACACCUGUUAAAUGAAUACCCAAUUUUAAGUAGUGGAUAGGUUUCUGGAAACUAUGUUAAUUGUAUCAUUUCUUUCUUGACACUUGUUUGUAUCAGUGGUAAUUAAAUAUUAUUCAAUGUAGAACUCAA